UCGAACGGGCUAGUGCUUCGCACUAGUCUCUUUCUGGGGUUGUUACUCUAAGGCUACCUGCUAAGGUUAUUGCUUUAAAGCAGGGGUUUUAGGAGACUUUCCCCGAAAGGGGCCAGUGCGGAGCACUGGCCAGUGGCGAACGGGUGAGUAACACGUGGGUAAUCUACCCUCGAGUGGGGGAAUAAGCUUCCGAAAAGGGGGUCUAAUGCCGCAUAACGUUUCAUAACGAUGGUUAUGAAACCAAAGCCCAAAAGGCGCUCGAGGAGGAGCCUGCGUCCUAUCAGCUUGUUGGCAGGGUAAUGGCCUACCAAGGCUAUGACGGGUAGCCGGCCUGAGAGGGUGUCCGGCCACACUGGAACUGAGACACGGUCCAGACUCCUACGGGAGGCAGCAGUGGGGAAUUUUGCGCAAUGGGGGAAACCCUGACGCAGCGACGCCGCGUGGAGGAUGACGGCCUUCGGGUUGUAAACUCCUGUCAGAAGGGACGAAAUCCCGCAAGGGACUGACGGUACCUUCAGAGGAAGCCCCGGCUAACUACGUG
RNAcentral lists this ribosomal RNA (541 nucleotides) under uncultured bacterium. Its description in RNAcentral is "bacterial SSU rRNA". It matches the Rfam family "Bacterial small subunit ribosomal RNA", at positions 62 to 507 of the family's 1533-position model. The record is from RNAcentral.